Molecule: long non-coding RNA, 1913 nt
Organism: Odontomachus brunneus
Lineage: Eukaryota; Metazoa; Arthropoda; Insecta; Hymenoptera; Formicidae
Exons: 2
Source: RefSeq, a predicted model, not a curated record
AUACCAAUUCUUCAGUCACGGAUUCGCAAACACGUGUUAAAUUCCACCGUACGACGUAUAGAGAUAUCUCUCGGCUCGUCGACCGCCGAGAAAACACGAUCAAAAUUUCGCGAGCAAUGACGAAACUGAUCCGAAAACGAUUCGUCUCUUCUCGGUAGAUCGAUGGACAAUAAUAUCAUAAUAAUCGCAAAGCUGGCUUCGAUAUAACACGUAUUCAAUUGCAAUAUAUAUACCGAAGCCAAAUAACGUAACGAUAUAAUGAUAUAACGCUAUGAUUUCCGACACGUGUCUUCAGAAACCGAGAUUGACAACAUUCGCUUAUUCGAUAAAAAAAAUAUAUAUAUGUAUUAAAGUAUAUCAAAAAAUGAGUGUCAACCGGAUUAGAGCUCAUCCUCAAAUUGACUUAAAUCUGUAUUUUUAGGAGACGGAAAUUGUAUACUUAUGAGCUUGUUUCACGAAAAAUGUCCUAUAGCUUUAUAACGUAUAAUUUCUACCUUCCUAAAAUACAGACUCAAAACAGCUUUGGGAAUAUCAGCUCUUCGAUUGAUUUUUUGCGUAAUCGCAAAAUUAUAAAUUAUAAAUGUGGCAUGAGAAUUACAUUGAAACAAUCUUCUAUUGUAUUCAAUUAAUCGAUAAGAAAGAAGAUAAUUAUAGGUAGAUAAUAUGCAAUAUGCAAUUUCCAUGCAAUUAACAUUUUUACAGGACAUAAAUAAUUGCACAAUACUAGCCAAUAUAUUAUUCAUCUAAAAUUGACUGAUUACUAGCAUAAUUGAAAACAAUGAUCGACCGUGUAGUUAAGCGGUCUCGAAAUUUAAGCAUAUAUACAUAUUAUCGUACAGUGUAAGACAGCUGAAGUAAUUUGCAAUAAGAGGAUCAACUUUUAAAUAUUGCAUGUAAAACCUAAACAUAUUUACGUAAUAUAGAAAGGACUUAUUUACGUGUUACGGAAGAGAAAAAAGAAAAUCAAAUAUAUUACUUCGGCAUCUUUCCUAUAUACAAACUUCUGAAACAGAGUCUGUAUAAUUUAAAGCCACGUGCCACAUUACAUUAAAUUAAGCAUAUUGUAUUUUAUUUGUAAAUAGAAGCGGUGAGAGUUCUAAAUAAUAACGAGCAAUUGUCGCACUACGUGAACAAAUUGAUUAUUCCAAGUUUUAAAUUCGUACACACAUCAAAGGCACUUCAUGAUUUAAAACAGCAAUUAUUUAAACUUUCAUUUGUGUGGCAGAAUGUGAAAUCUUUAGACGUGUAUUCCUAGAGGCCUUACUGUGUCGAAGGCUCUGUAUAUAAUGAAUUACGUUGUUCGAGCUAUGUCUUGUAAUGUCGAUUAACUAUUAAAGUGAAUUAAUUAAGUUUUGAGAGCUAUAUACGUAUAUAUAUAUGUACACAUUAUAAAUAGUUAUUUAGUAACAAAGUUUACUGCGCUUUUCCGAAGAUCGCUUCGAACUGCCUAUUCGAUUUAAAUAAUUUUACCGGACGUUCACUCGCUUCGUGCAAAUGUUACAAGUAAUCCACAUGUGUUGUACAUUGCAAAAGUAGUCAGAAUAACAAGGUUGACGAGUAUAAAUAAACGCGCCAUUGCGACUCACCGUUUACCGAUACGAUUAGCUGCACGAUUAUCAGCGUAUUAACCAACCAGUAAUUCACACGAAACACUAUUACUACUGCAAUGAUAAUGAAAGUGCAGCUAGAAUUAUCAAAGAUAUCGGGAAUUAAUCGCGUAUGUACUCCGAUUGUCUUUAGACGUUAUGUCAACGAGUUGGAGGAACAUUAUGUAAUAUCGUACAUGAAGCAUGAAAUCGUGAAGAACCAUUAACAGGACUACACACACUUAGCGCUAAAUCACACGACAAAUAAAUCUCAGUGUACAUAAUGUAAAGAGAGACAAGCAGCAUAAAUCUAAUGACUCAUCGAAA